RNAcentral lists this ribosomal RNA (243 nucleotides) under Triticum aestivum (bread wheat). Its description in RNAcentral is "partial small subunit ribosomal RNA". The record is from RNAcentral. Lineage: Eukaryota; Viridiplantae; Streptophyta; Magnoliopsida; Poales; Poaceae.
AUGUCCACCUCCUCCGUUGUUCCCUCCUCUGGCCUCAACUACAACACCUCAGAACCUCUCAGCCGGACGAACUAUGUCCUCUGGCGAGCCCAAGCACGAUCCCAGAUACUGGGCGCUGGCUUGUUUGGCUACAUAGAUCGGACUAUCGAGGAGCCUCCAAAAACAAUCAUCAGCAAAGAUAAAGAUGGCAAAGAUCAGGUAGUUUCCAACCCUGCUCACAACCCUUGGCUCGUCCAAGAUCAG